AUCCACCAUUUAGUGGGGAAUAACUGUUGGAAACGACAGCUAAUACCGCACAAUAUUGCUGGAUAAUUUCCAGUAAUGAGAGGAGCUUUCAAGCUCCGCUGAUUGAUGAGGAUGCGGCGCAUUAGCUAGUUGGUAGGGUAAUGGCCUACCAAGGCAAUGAUGCGUAGCCGAUCUGAGAGGAUGAACGGCACAUUGGGACUGAGACACGGCCCAAACUUCUACGGAAGGCAGCAGUAGGGAAUUUUUCACAAUGGGCGAAAGCCUGAUGGAGCAAUGCCGCGUGACUGAUGAAGGUCUUCGGAUUGUAAAGGUCUGUUGUAAGGGAAGAAAUGGUAAAACAGGAAAUGGUUUUAUCUAUGACGGUACCUUACCAGAAAGCCACGGCUAACUAUGUGCCAGCAGCCGCGGUAAUACAUANGUGGCAAGCGU
This 429-nucleotide ribosomal RNA is filed under the name uncultured Spiroplasma sp. Its description in RNAcentral is "bacterial SSU rRNA". It matches the Rfam family "Bacterial small subunit ribosomal RNA", at positions 124 to 541 of the family's 1533-position model. Lineage: Bacteria; Bacillati; Mycoplasmatota; Mollicutes; Entomoplasmatales; Spiroplasmataceae. The record is from RNAcentral.